GGAUAUUUCAAAUAAUCUUUCUUUUGCCGUAAAUUACAAGAUUUUCCAGUUUGACCACUGGCGCUUAACCUAACUACAUACUGAAGGAACACUAUAUUAAAUUUUAUAAAUAUUAGGAACCUAAGUAAUAAUGUCACUUAUAUUUAUUAUACCGAUUUUCUCUAGUAUUGAUAUUAACCACUAGAAAACUGAUUUAUUAUCUUCCACAUUAAUCCCAUUUCUUGGGAAAUUAACUGUGGUUAACAAGCAGAACAGGAAUUUGGAGUGCCUGUUUUGUGUAUCCCUCAAAAUUAAUGGAGAAAUUACUACAGGACCAUCUUAGAGGACCAAACACUGAAUACAGAAACAAAGGCCAGAAGGCUAGAUCAUAACUGCCACUGCUAUUCUGGUGGGUCACCAUGGACAGUGCGGUAGUGCUGCUACCCUGAAAAGUAAAUUCUAAACUGCCUUUGCUUCCUUGUGACACUCCCUACAGAUUCAAAGGCAGGUAUAGCUGAUGGGCCAAAUCUAAGUUAUGGGCCAUAAUCUAGCUGUCACAGAGUAAAGAGAACAAGUAUUUGGACUUUCCACCACUCACUCUGGAAAGCAGGGAACAAUGUAGUAGUCUGGUAACAUAAGUUCAAAUUGCUGGGUAAUCAAAACCAAAAAAACAUACAUUUAUUACAUUGAUCAAGAUGAGGUAAUUGAAAGAGCACGUAUUCUGAAGAAAGACAAGCUAAGCUUGCAUCCAAAUCAGGAAUCAGUAAUUGUGUGUUAUUUCACAAUGUAAAAAAAAAAAAACUUAAGACUAUUACUUUUCCAAAUGUAGAUCACGUGUAAAUUAUUGGAAAACAUGUGAAAGCCUGUUGUGAGAACUAAAAUAAAUAAUUCAUCUAAAAGUGUGAGACUGGUAGAAGUUAUCUAAUGCAUGUUAAUUAACAUCCAUAAUCUACUUUCACUUUUCUUUGCCUUUACAAAAAAGAAAAGAAAGAUGUUUGAUAUUGAGAAUUUUACAUCUGGAACCGAUACUGAAACUUUCUGUUUUACAUUUUUGGUUGACAUUAAUAAGGCACUUCAAGCUGGUGUGGGUGGACGUUCUUUCCUGUUGAAAAGAGAACAAAACCCUCAACAAGGAGCAGCUGGAGACAAACUUGGAGCGAGGAAAAGCAGAAAGUGUUGCGAAGCAUAAUCAUUUAAAUCACAGAUUAAGUCAACAUAAUAGCAGAGAAAAUGCAGGAAAUUCAAAAUGUUUGACUAUAGUGGCAACCUCACAGAGUCUUUUCUUUGGGAUCAACAGAGAAAAUGAGCUAAAUGAAUACAAUUUUAUAUCUCCUGACAUAGAAGUAAAGGAUUCAUGAGCAAAUGUUUUAUUUUAUACUAUAAUUUUUAAAAUAUUUCCUUUAAAUACAAAGCCUUAACCAACAAAAUGUAACCAUUAGCUUCAUGAAAAACAAUAAAAAUAAGAGUUAUUAACUAUUACGCUUUCUUGAUAUUUCAUUAUAUACACAUCCA
This 1491-nucleotide long non-coding RNA is filed under the name Homo sapiens (human). RNAcentral's name for it is "non-protein coding lnc-ADGRB3-1:1". The record is from RNAcentral. Lineage: Eukaryota; Metazoa; Chordata; Mammalia; Primates; Hominidae.